CAGAAAGUAGUUUAAAAAAUAUUAAUUUUGGAAAUUAAAGAUAAAAGCCGAGGCUUUUUUUUCUGA
Molecule: transfer RNA, 66 nt
Filed under: Cherax cartalacoolah
Lineage: Eukaryota; Metazoa; Arthropoda; Malacostraca; Decapoda; Parastacidae
Description: tRNA-Pro
Rfam family: tRNA
About the family: Transfer RNA (tRNA) molecules are approximately 80 nucleotides in length. Their secondary structure includes four short double-helical elements and three loops (D, anti-codon, and T loops). Further hydrogen bonds mediate the characteristic L-shaped molecular structure. tRNAs have two regions of fundamental functional importance: the anti-codon, which is responsible for specific mRNA codon recognition, and the 3' end, to which the tRNAs corresponding amino acid is attached (by aminoacyl-tRNA synthetases). tRNAs cope with the degeneracy of the genetic code in two manners: having more than one tRNA (with a specific anti-codon) for a particular amino acid; and 'wobble' base-pairing, i.e. permitting non-standard base-pairing at the 3rd anti-codon position.
Source: RNAcentral